Molecule: small nuclear RNA, 120 nt
Filed under: Macleaya cordata
Lineage: Eukaryota; Viridiplantae; Streptophyta; Magnoliopsida; Ranunculales; Papaveraceae
Description: U5 spliceosomal RNA
Rfam family: U5 spliceosomal RNA
About the family: U5 RNA is a component of both types of known spliceosome.
Source: Rfam by way of RNAcentral
GCCAUCCUCCGUAAGAACAGAGCGAACUAUUCUUUCGCCUUUUACUAAAGAAUACCGUGUGCUUGCCGCAUUAAGCUGCAUACGCCUAUUUUUGGAGGGAUUUCUCUUUCUAAGUGAAAA